Molecule: transfer RNA, 88 nt
Filed under: Phycisphaeraceae bacterium
Lineage: Bacteria; Pseudomonadati; Planctomycetota; Phycisphaerae; Phycisphaerales; Phycisphaeraceae
Description: tRNA-Leu
Rfam family: tRNA
About the family: Transfer RNA (tRNA) molecules are approximately 80 nucleotides in length. Their secondary structure includes four short double-helical elements and three loops (D, anti-codon, and T loops).
Source: RNAcentral
GGGCCUGUGGCGGAACUGGCAGACGCAGCGGACUUAAAAUCCGCGGCCGGGUCGCACCGGCGUGCGGGUUCGACUCCCGCCGGGCCCA